RNAcentral lists this long non-coding RNA (302 nucleotides) under Nicotiana benthamiana. RNAcentral describes it as "long non-coding RNA (NBEN_LNC036823)". The record is from RNAcentral. Lineage: Eukaryota; Viridiplantae; Streptophyta; Magnoliopsida; Solanales; Solanaceae.
UUUACUCCUACUAUCCCAUCUUUUACAGUUCCAUUAUUACCUGGAAAGUGAGAUUUUCUUCAACUAUGAGCUCGGGAACAUUAUUAAAAAAAAUUAAUUUCUUGAAUGUCAUUUGUAGAACUUUUUUUGAUGCAGUGACUUCUCCUUAACAAUAAGUUCCUUCAAGUAUUAGUAGUGUAAAUUAGAUAACAUUUACUCCUACUAUCCCAUCUUAUAACAGUUCCAUUAUUACCUGGAAAGCAAGACGUUUUCUUCAACUCUGAGUCUCGGGAACAUUAUUAAAAAAAAAAAUUAAGUUCUUG